This is a non-coding RNA of Acanthosepion pharaonis, 109 nucleotides long. The record is from the annotation of a GenBank genome assembly. NCBI's taxonomy places the organism in Eukaryota, Metazoa, Mollusca, Cephalopoda, Sepiida, Sepiidae.
CAGUCAUAUUACAUUGAAGCACCAGUUCCUGUACAAUCACCAAAGUUAAGCAAUGUCACACCUGGUCAGUACCUAGAUGGGUGACCGCUUGAGAAUACCAGUUGCUGUA